GGCACCAACGGCUUCCUGACGGUGUCUCAUGCGAAAUAUAUCGGAGCG
This 48-nucleotide small RNA is filed under the name Pseudaestuariivita atlantica. RNAcentral describes it as "SAM-SAH-Weickhmann-2018 RNA". The record is from RNAcentral. Lineage: Bacteria; Pseudomonadati; Pseudomonadota; Alphaproteobacteria; Rhodobacterales; Paracoccaceae.